AGAGUUUGAUCCUGGCUCAGAACGAACGUUGGCGGCGUGGAUUAGGCAUGCAAGUCGAACGAGAACCUUCCCUGUAGCAAUACAGGGAGGGGGAUAGUGGCGAAAGGGGCAGUAAUGCGUGGGUAACCUACCCUGGGGACCGGGACAUACACGUAAUAGUGGUAAAUACCGGGCAAUGUCGUCGAGGGGCAUCUCUUGGCGACCAGAGAUUUAUCGUCCUGGGAGGGGCUCACGUCGUAUUAGCUAGUUGGCGGGGUAACGGCCCACCAAGGCAAAGAUGCGUAGCGGGUGUGAGAGCACGACCCGCGCCACUGGCACUGAGACACUGGCCAGACACCUACGGGUGGCUGCAGUCGAGGAUCUUUGGCAAUGAGCGCAAGCUUGACCAAGCGACGCCGCGUGUGCGAUGAAGGCCUUCGGGUUGUAAAGCACUGUCGAGGGGGAUCAAGGGAAACUUGAGUGAUCCCUGGAGGAAGCACGGGCUAAGUUCGUGCCAGCAGCCGCGGUAAGACGAACCGUGCGAACGUUGUUCGGAAUCACUGGGCUUAAAGGGCGCGUAGGCGGCUUGCCAAGUCAGGGGUGAAAUCUUUCGGCUCAACCGGAAAAGUGCCCUUGAUACUGGCGAGCUCGAGGGAGGUAGGGGUGUGUGGAACUGAUGGUGGAGCGGUGAAAUGCGUUGAUAUCAUCAGGAACGCCGGUGGCGAAAGCGACGCACUGGACCUCUUCUGACGCUGAGGCGCGAAAGCUAGGGGAGCAAACGGGAUUAGAUACCCCGGUAGUCC
RNAcentral lists this ribosomal RNA (782 nucleotides) under uncultured bacterium. Its description in RNAcentral is "bacterial SSU rRNA". It matches the Rfam family "Bacterial small subunit ribosomal RNA", at positions 8 to 796 of the family's 1533-position model. The record is from RNAcentral.